RNAcentral lists this unclassified non-coding RNA (307 nucleotides) under sea anemone metagenome. RNAcentral describes it as "partial contains small subunit ribosomal RNA and internal transcribed spacer 1". The stretch from base 1 to 155 matches the Rfam family "Eukaryotic small subunit ribosomal RNA", at positions 1678 to 1831 of the family's 1831-position model. The record is from RNAcentral.
GCGUCUACCGAUUGAAUGGAGAGGUAAAAUCUCCGGACUAUGACGCGUUGGGGUCAAACCUAAUGCAGUCGUGGGAAGUGGAUUAAACCUUUCCAUUUAGAGGAAGAUGAAGUCGUAACAAGGUUUCCGUAGGUGAACCUGCAGAAGGAUCAGCUACUACCGAAUGAAUGGUUUAGUGAGGACUCCUGAUUGGCGCCGCCGCCCCGGCAACGGAGCAGCGGACUGCCGAAAAGUUGUUCAAACUUGAUCAUUUAGAGGAAGUAAAAGUCGUGACAAGGUUUCCGUAGGUGAACCUGCAGAAGGAUCA